CUGCCCUCUCUCAUGAGGGUGCACACUUGGACAGGACUUCACCUUCCCACCUCUUCCCUGGGGGAUGCAUGCUGUUUCUCUCACCGUUUAGUGGCUCAGGCAGGACAGAGAGAAGGCCCCUUUUGGGCUUGUGUCUCGAUAGCAUUCUCCAGCUCAGCCUUGCCAGAGAGGUCAGAGUGCUGUGGGUUCCCCGGCACUUGUCUGGCUGUUAAUACAAUCGAUGUUUUGGUUUCCUUUUUGCUCCUUGUUCUCUGGACACCUUCUCCAUUGGCCAGACUCAGAGGGGCAGAGGGAUGACGUGCUGGUGGCCCUCCCUGGAGCUGUGAUGGUGAAGUCAAAGACUGGCCUUGGGGGACCCAAAUACAGUGGAUUUUAACAGCAAACACUCUAAAGAUCACGGAGGGUGAAUGGGGCCUGGAGAGAUUUAACAACGAUGCAAAACAGUUUGAGGCCGCUAGAGGGAGCGUUGACCCAGUCACUUGCACAGAGUGAGGGAAGACGAACAGGAAGUUUAGUGGUGAAACAUUAUUAGAUACCACUUAGUUUCUGCCACAGUAUGAUGCUGGCAUUAGCCAUGGGAUUCCUGCACAGCUCAAGUGCCCCAUGUGUCUUUUGAGCCUUGAGGAGGAGACUGACAUGGAGAUGCCUUGCCAUCCCCUCUUCCAACGCAACUGAACCUUCCCUGGUUAAGCAAGACAAAUUCCUCCCGCUAUGCUGCCGUGAGCUGCUCACUGAUAAUGACAUGUAGGAGGAACACAGAUGAGAUGAGGCCCACAAGCAGCAGCAGAAGUGUGGCUGGAGAACCUGCAUGGAGCCAGAUCUUAUUCUACCAAACAGCUGGAGC
RNAcentral lists this long non-coding RNA (844 nucleotides) under Homo sapiens (human). RNAcentral's name for it is "HSALNT0189574". Lineage: Eukaryota; Metazoa; Chordata; Mammalia; Primates; Hominidae. The record is from RNAcentral.